CAACUCGACUGCAUGAAGUCGGAAUCGCUGUAAUCGCAGAUCAGCAAAGCUGCGGUGAAUACGUUCCCGGGCCUUGUACACACCGCCCGUCACACCACGGGAGUCGGUCGCGCCUGAAGCCGGUGGCCUAUCAGUAAUGGGGGAGCCGUCUAUGGCGAGAUUGGUAACUGGGGUGAAGUCGUAACAAGGUAGC
This 193-nucleotide ribosomal RNA is filed under the name uncultured bacterium. Its description in RNAcentral is "partial 16S ribosomal RNA". It matches the Rfam family "Bacterial small subunit ribosomal RNA", at positions 1308 to 1500 of the family's 1533-position model. The record is from RNAcentral.